This 253-nucleotide ribosomal RNA is filed under the name uncultured bacterium. Its description in RNAcentral is "partial 16S ribosomal RNA". It matches the Rfam family "Bacterial small subunit ribosomal RNA", at positions 524 to 776 of the family's 1533-position model. The record is from RNAcentral.
UACGAAGGGGGCGAGCGUUGUUCGGAAUUACUGGGCGUAAAGGGCGCGUAGGCGGCGACCCAAGUCAGAUGUGAAAGUCCUGGGCUUAACCUGGGGACUGCAUUUGAUACUGGGUUGCUUGAAUUCGGGAGAGGAUAGCGGAAUUCCCAGUGUAGAGGUGAAAUUCGUAGAUAUUGGGAAGAACACCGGUGGCGAAGGCGGUCUGCUGGGCAGUUGCUGACACUGAGGCGCGACAGCGUGGGGAGCAAACAGG